Molecule: ribosomal RNA, 228 nt
Filed under: uncultured Lactobacillus sp.
Lineage: Bacteria; Bacillati; Bacillota; Bacilli; Lactobacillales; Lactobacillaceae
Description: partial 16S ribosomal RNA
Rfam family: Bacterial small subunit ribosomal RNA
Source: RNAcentral
GAGAUCGGGAUAACACCUGGAAACAGAUGCUAAUACCGGAUAACAACAGAUGAUGCCUAUCAACUGUUUAAAAGAUGGUUCUGCUAUCACUCUUGGAUGGACCUGCGGUGCAUUAGCUAGUUGGUAGGGUAACGGCCUACCAAGGCGAUGAUGCAUAGCCGAGUUGAGAGACUGAUCGGCCACAUUGGGACUGAGAUACGGCCCAGACUCCUACGGGAGGCAGCAGUU